This 592-nucleotide ribosomal RNA is filed under the name Rhizobium sp. SCAU706. RNAcentral describes it as "bacterial SSU rRNA". It matches the Rfam family "Bacterial small subunit ribosomal RNA", at positions 94 to 721 of the family's 1533-position model. Lineage: Bacteria; Pseudomonadati; Pseudomonadota; Alphaproteobacteria; Hyphomicrobiales; Rhizobiaceae. The record is from RNAcentral.
AGUGGCAGACGGGUGAGUAACGCGUGGGAAUCUACCCAUCUCUGCGGAAUAGCUCUGGGAAACUGGAAUUAAUACCGCAUACGCCCUACGGGGGAAAGAUUUAUCGGGGAUGGAUGAGCCCGCGUUGGAUUAGCUAGUUGGUGGGGUAAAGGCCUACCAAGGCGACGAUCCAUAGCUGGUCUGAGAGGAUGAUCAGCCACAUUGGGACUGAGACACGGCCCAAACUCCUACGGGAGGCAGCAGUGGGGAAUAUUGGACAAUGGGCGCAAGCCUGAUCCAGCCAUGCCGCGUGAGUGAUGAAGGCCUUAGGGUUGUAAAGCUCUUUCACCGAUGAAGAUAAUGACGGUAGUCGGAGAAGAAGCCCCGGCUAACUUCGUGCCAGCAGCCGCGGUAAUACGAAGGGGGCUAGCGUUGUUCGGAAUUACUGGGCGUAAAGCGCACGUAGGCGGAUAUUUAAGUCAGGGGUGAAAUCCCGCAGCUCAACUGCGGAACUGCCUUUGAUACUGGGUAUCUUGAGUAUGGAAGAGGUAAGUGGAAUUCCGAGUGUAGAGGUGAAAUUCGUAGAUAUUCGGAGGAACACCAGUGGCGAAGG